UACGUAGGGGGCAAGCGUUGUCCGGAUUCAUUGGGCGUAAAGAGCGUGUAGGCGGCCAGGUAGGUCGGUUGUGAAAACUGGAGGCUCAACCUUCAGAGGUCGACCGAAACCAUCUGGCUAGAGUCCGGGAGAGGAGAGUGGAAUUCCUGGUGUAGCGGUGAAAUGCGCAGAUAUCAGGAAGAACACCCGUGGCGAAGGCAGCUCGCUGGGACGGUACUGACGCUGAGGCGCGAAAGCGUGGGGAGCGAACAGG
RNAcentral lists this ribosomal RNA (253 nucleotides) under uncultured bacterium. Its description in RNAcentral is "partial 16S ribosomal RNA". It matches the Rfam family "Bacterial small subunit ribosomal RNA", at positions 524 to 776 of the family's 1533-position model. The record is from RNAcentral.